RNAcentral lists this ribosomal RNA (253 nucleotides) under uncultured bacterium. RNAcentral's name for it is "partial 16S ribosomal RNA". It matches the Rfam family "Bacterial small subunit ribosomal RNA", at positions 524 to 776 of the family's 1533-position model. The record is from RNAcentral.
UACGUAGGGGGCAAGCGUUGUCCGGAUUUAUUGGGCGUAAAGCGCGCGCAGGCGGUUUCUUAAGUCUGAUGGGAAAGCCCACGGCUCAACCGUGGAGGGUCAUUGGAAACUGGGGAACUUGAGUGCAGAAGAGAAAAGCGGAAUUCCACGUGUAGCGGUGAAAUGCGUAGAGAUGUGGAGGAACACCAGUGGCGAAGGCGGCUUUUUGGUCUGUAACUGACGCUGAGGCGCGAAAGCGUGGGGAGCAAACAGG